Molecule: transfer RNA, 64 nt
Filed under: human gut metagenome
Also listed under: 1 other name
Rfam family: tRNA
About the family: Transfer RNA (tRNA) molecules are approximately 80 nucleotides in length. Their secondary structure includes four short double-helical elements and three loops (D, anti-codon, and T loops).
Source: RNAcentral
GGUGUAGCCAAGCGGUAAGGCACUAGACUUUGACUCUAGCAUGCGUAAGUUCGAAUCUUGCCAC